RNAcentral lists this ribosomal RNA (253 nucleotides) under uncultured bacterium. Its description in RNAcentral is "partial 16S ribosomal RNA". It matches the Rfam family "Bacterial small subunit ribosomal RNA", at positions 524 to 776 of the family's 1533-position model. The record is from RNAcentral.
UACGUAGGGUGCGAGCGUUAAUCGGAAUUACUGGGCGUAAAGCGUGCGCAGGUGGUUGUGUAAGCUUGAUGUGAAAUCCCCGGGCUCAACCUGGGAACUGCAUUGAGGACUGCACGGCUAGAGUGUGGCAGAGGGGGGUAGAAUUCCACGUGUAGCAGUGAAAUGCGUAGAGAUGUGGAGGAAUACCGAUGGCGAAGGCAGCCCCCUGGGUCGACACUGACACUCAUGCACGAAAGCGUGGGGAGCAAACAGG